This 83-nucleotide ribosomal RNA is filed under the name Acanthosepion pharaonis. Lineage: Eukaryota; Metazoa; Mollusca; Cephalopoda; Sepiida; Sepiidae. The record is from RNAcentral.
CCGUACGAUCACCGAAGUUAAGUAUCGUCUAGCCUGAUCAGUACCUAGAUGGGUGACCGCUUGAGAAUACCAGGUGCUGUAAG